AGGAUCCCCUGUUAUUAUUCGGGGAGGGGAUGAAGAUUCUCUGAAGUAAUUCUGACGGAAACGGAGAGGAGACGGGGACAUACGCAAAAUAUUGAGGAUGAGUACGAAGAGAUUGGUCCCCUCCCCUCUCCUCCCCAUUGCCAUCCCUAUCUCAUCCUAAAAAUUCAAUCUUGAUAAAUAAUUAACCCUUUAUCUUUUAAAAAAAUGGACAAUCAAAGUGAUUCUCGGUAAAUUAAUUUUUAUUUAAAGAUUCGAGCAUUACUUUCCUCAUAAUGAUUAAACCAAAUUAAGUGGCUUGGGUAGACUUUUUAUACGUUAGCUUUGAGCCUCACGAACCAUCGGCUUAGGUACAGGCUUUUUUUUGGUUGAUUCCCAGUCAAGAACAAUCUUAUAUGCUCUGUUUGUGUGAAAGUGUGUACCAUGUCAUUUUUAUUGAUGUAAAUGGAAGGAUUUAGGCAGUCUAAUUAUUGGUACACCUAGCGAUAUGAUAUAAAACUAUGUAUGCCGAUAGAAUAAAUGUAACGAAUAGACUGCACUUUAACUAUUCAAUAAAAAGUAUCCACUUAUUAAGUUCAGUUUUUAAUCAUUUUUUUUUAAUUAUAAAGAGAUUGUCAAAUUAAUAUAUAUCUUUUAC
Molecule: long non-coding RNA, 634 nt
Filed under: Citrus x clementina
Lineage: Eukaryota; Viridiplantae; Streptophyta; Magnoliopsida; Sapindales; Rutaceae
Description: Citrus clementina (C. clementina) long non-coding RNA (CCLE_LNC002529)
Source: RNAcentral